UAACAGGUUGAGAUUCCUGUACUGGUUUGAUUUGUUUGAACGAUGGAGGGACGCAGGAGGCUAGAGAUGCGUGCUGUUGGAUAUGCACGUCCAAGCAACAAGUCUGAUGAUGAGUCAAAUGCUUAUCGUCUUAAGGACAAGUUGUGACGGGGAGCGAAAUUAAAGUAGCGAAGUGAUCGAUGUCACACUGCCGAGAAAAGCUUCUAGUUAGGAUCAGACCACCCGUACCGCAAACCGACACAGGUAGUCGAGGCGAGUAGCCUAAGGUGAGCGAGAGAACUCUCGUUAAGGAACUCGGCAAAAUGACCCCGUAACUUCGGGAGAAGGGGUGCUGCACAAUGUGCAGCCGCAGUGAAUAGGCCCAGGCGACUGUUUAUCAAAAACACAGGUUUCUGCAAAAUCGUAAGAUGAAGUAUAGGGGCUGACGCCUGCCCGGUGCUGGAAGGUUAAGAGGAUGGGUUAGCG
This 465-nucleotide ribosomal RNA is filed under the name Ligilactobacillus murinus. Its description in RNAcentral is "Lactobacillus murinus partial 23S ribosomal RNA". It matches the Rfam family "Bacterial large subunit ribosomal RNA", at positions 1422 to 1895 of the family's 2925-position model. The record is from RNAcentral. Lineage: Bacteria; Bacillati; Bacillota; Bacilli; Lactobacillales; Lactobacillaceae.